UUUAAUUAUAUAUAGAUAACAAAUAAUUAAACUUAUGAAUGAGUAUUAAUAAAUUAUUCUGUAAUUCUGUUCAGCCCCUCAAAUGUAUACUUACUUCUAUUAUAUGGUUUAAGAAACCAACAAAAAAUAUAGCUAAAUUAGCAGUAGCUAAAUUAGCAGCCAUGGCAAUGUGAGUUCCCAUGAGAUCUUAAUGGGAAAGGAAAACCAGUCGGUUCAUCCUCAAUGACACUAUUUAUUUAUAAAACAACCUCUAGAACUGAAUGCAUGCUCUUCUUCUUCUUUCUUCCUCUUGCCCUCUUCUCCUUGUUAAUUUCAUUUAACCUGACAUUUCUUUGAAUUUUUCUUUUUCAACAAAGCAACUAAUCUAGGGCCUAGAAACUAACUAGACAGAGGAUAAAAACCUAUGAUAAUGUAGCAGAAAAUAUUUUAACAAAAAUAUAAUACAAUCUAACUCCCAAUUGUAUUUUUUACUUCCCAUUAACCAGAAACACACAAACACAAACUAUAUUACUCCAAAUAAGCAACAUCAUCAUCUGUUCAUCUCUAGGCAGAAAAGUUACCCUCAAUUAUCCCUUUUCCCCAAUAUUUUGCUGAAUCACUUAAUUAGCCAGAUAUACUAGUUGCAAAUAUCAAAAUCCAUAAGAUAUUCCAUCCCCCAAAAUCAAAACAUUAUUUCUUAAUAUAAGAAUCAUAGGCAAUCCAGUGAAUUUAACAUCAAAGGAAAAAAAGAAUGAAGGAACGGAAUAGAUCUACAGGAAGGAAUCUUCAAGUCCUUAAUUCAGUUAAUAUAUCAGUUAAUAAAUCACGCACACAACAACCACUUGAUCUCAAACACCCCUUUAACGAAACCACAGCAAUGCUUGAUCAAUAAAGGACACUCAAACCUACCCAAACAUUAUACUUUCUCAUCAAGUUAUCCAUAAUCUGCAGUACAGCUCUAUCACAACAUCAAAUUCUUCUAGCAUUCUAAACAAAAGCUAGUCAAAUUCCCUACGAUUUCACGUUGAUAUCACAUAUUCACCAAAUUUCAACAAUAUACCAUCUGAAAAUACAACAAUCAACAGAUAUUCCGAUAUUCCGAAAUUGGAGACAGGUUUAAGUGAAACUGAAGUUACCCCAUGAGAUUUACACGCAAG
This 1136-nucleotide unclassified non-coding RNA is filed under the name Hevea brasiliensis (rubber tree). The record is from RNAcentral. Lineage: Eukaryota; Viridiplantae; Streptophyta; Magnoliopsida; Malpighiales; Euphorbiaceae.